CCUACGGGAGGCAGCAGUGGGGAAUAUUGGGCAAUGGAGGCAACUCUGACCCAGCAACGCCGCGUGAAUGAUGAAGGUCUUCGGAUUGUAAAGUUCUGUGAUGGGGGAUGAACACAAUGACGGUACCCCAAUAGCAAGCCACGGCUAACUACGUGCCAGCAGCCGCGGUAAUACGUAGGUGGCAAGCGUUAUCCGGAAUGACUGGGCGUAAAGGGUGCGUAGGUGGUGUAGUAAGUUGGCGGUGUAAUUCCGGGGCUCAACCUCGGCGCUACCGCCAAAACGAUUAGACUAGAGUGCAGGGGGGGUAAGUGGAAUUCCUAGUGUAGCGGUGGAAUGCGUAGAUAUUAGGAGGAACAUCAGGGGCGAAGGCGACUUACUGGACUGUAACUGACACUGAGGCACGAAAGCGUGGGGAGCAAACAGGAUUAGAUACCCGGGUAGUC
RNAcentral lists this ribosomal RNA (443 nucleotides) under uncultured bacterium. RNAcentral describes it as "partial 16S ribosomal RNA". It matches the Rfam family "Bacterial small subunit ribosomal RNA", at positions 338 to 795 of the family's 1533-position model. The record is from RNAcentral.